RNAcentral lists this long non-coding RNA (8825 nucleotides) under Homo sapiens (human). RNAcentral's name for it is "HSALNT0049474". The record is from RNAcentral. Lineage: Eukaryota; Metazoa; Chordata; Mammalia; Primates; Hominidae.
AGUGCUGGGAUUACAGGCGUGAGCCACCACGCCUGGCCAAGUAGUGGCAUUUUAAGUCUCAGCCUACCAAGCCAAUCUGCCUGUCCCUUGGUACCAGCCCUCAUUAGGACUGGCCUCCUGCCCUUACACACUUCCAACUUUUGCUUUGUGCUGCUUUAUUUCUCUUCUCUGUUUUCUGCCAACCAGAAAACUGUUUUCCUACUGUUGGACAAGCUGUUCAACAGUGUCUUCAGAUCUUAGCUAGUUUUGUUGAUAUUUUCUGUUCUUUCUCCAGAGAGAGAGAGAGAGACUGGGUGAGACUGAGACAUCCUACUACUUGUGUGUUUAAGGCUAAUCUGGCUGCUAAAGGCAGCUGGAAGCUGCUUGGUCUUCAGCUCCUCUUGCAUGUCAGUAAAAGCAAGACACAGCUGGUCUCAAUAAACAGACUAUCCACAAGUGAUGUUUGCAAAGUUAAGGUUGGGAGGUGGAAGCUCCAUCUCCUGACCAUCCAAAGACUGGUGGAUGCCUAAAUCCAACAUAUUAAUACAAUGAGUGCUACAGAGAUAACCAAAGGUACAAUGCUAGAACAGUUACUUUUGGUUAUCAGAGGCCUGCACUUGAUCAAGUUCUAGGCACACAGUACUGACAUUUAAAUUUAAAUGCUAUAUGUAAACUUCCCAUCUGUUCAGCUGCCUUCCUUGUAAAAUAAAAAUAAAACUUGUCUUAAUCUUCUCAGAAAAAUUCACUGCUACAUAGCUACCUUCAAUGUAAGAAAGUAGAAAAAAAUAAUGCACAAAGAUUUACAUACUUUUGUUAAGAAAUACUGGAAAGAAUCAAGAAAUAGGAUGAAGGGGACAGGGAUGAAAGCAUGACAUCUCUAAAUGUCUUUUUACUCAAUUUAGAUUUUGAAGCAUGCAACAGGGAGUUUUUCAUGUUUUUUAUUGUGGUAAAAUAUACAUGACAUUUACCAUCUUAACCAUUUUUAAGUGUACAGUUCAGCAGCAUUAAAUAUAUUCACACUGUUGUGUUAUCAGCACCACCAUCCAUCCCCAGGACUUUUUCUACCUUCCCAGACUGAGAUUGUUCCCAUUAAACACUAACCCCACGAUUCAUUCCCCAGAAUUCAUACCCCACACCCCCCAAUAACCACCAUUCUACUUUCUGUGAACUUGACUGGUACCUCCUAUGAGUGAAAUUCUAGUGUUUGUCUUUUUGCAUCUGGCUUCUUUUACUUAGCAUAAAGUCCUCAGGUUCAUCCAUUUUGUAGCAUGGGUCAGAAUUUCCUUCCUUUUUGAGGUUAAAUAAUAUUCUGUUAUAUAGACAUCUCACGUUGCUUAUCUAUUCAUCUGUCAAUGAACAUUUGGGUUGCUUCCCCCUUUUCCCCAUGGUGAAUAAUGCUGCUGUGAACACAGGUAUGCAAAUAUCUGUUCGUGUCCCUGCUUUGAGUUCUUUUGGGUAUAUACGCAGAGGUGGAACUGCAGAUCACAUGCUAACUCUGUGUUUAAUGUCUGAGGAACUGCCAUACUGUUUUCCAUAGUGGCUACACCAUUUCACAUUCCCACCAGCCAUGCACAGGGGUUCUCAUUUUCUCCCUGUAAUUUAUAAAGGGAAAAAAGCCCUUUAUAAAUUGGAUAAACUGAAAACAAUAAACUGAAUAAAAAUAAAUGGAAAACUAAUAAUAUUAAUAACCAAAGUGGCAAAAUAACCACAGUAAAAACAGUUAUUUCACUUUUGCGCACAGUGCCAACAGUACUGCUUUAGUGAGGUAUAUCUAAGGACAAGAGAACAGCAAGGAACACAAACUAAAGUUAGGAUAUUUUUAUUUUUUGAGACAGGGUCUCACUCUGUCAACUAGGCUGGAGUGCAGUGGCACAAUCAUAGCUCACUGUAUCCUAGAACUCCUAGACUCAAGUGACCCUUCUGUCUCAGCCACCCGAGUGGCUGGGACCACAGGCGCACACCACCAGAACUGGCUCCAUGGUGCCAUUUUUAUUUUUUGUAGAGAUAAGGUCUCACUGCGUUGCCCAGGCUUCUCUCAAACUCCUGACGUGGAGCGAUCCUCCUGCCUCAGCUUCCCGAUGCACUGGAAUUACAGGUGUGAGCCCUCUGCUCCCCUAGUAGUGAUAAUUUUGAUACUAUGAAACUGUUUUAACAAAUAAAUAUACUGUUGUUAAGAACCAAGAUUUCUAGCAUUAAGAGAAACGAGCUACAAAUAUUAAACCAAAGAAGAGAAAACUCUGUAACGUUAAAUAUGAGUAAGAAAUAGCACUCCAAGCUUGCGAUUUAAAAUGUGUUGUGUUUCCUAGCUUUGCAUGUCUUGAGUGGACAUAGAACUAAUGACACUCCAACUGAACUGAGCACCCGAGAACAUGGAUUUGGGCUUUUUAAAAAAAUUUAUUCCCUACACUGAUGUAAAUCAAUUAUUAUUAUUUUUUUUUAAGCAAAAGUCUUGCUCUGUUACUCAAGCUUGAAAGCAAUGGUAUGAUCUCUGCUCACUACAACCUCUGCCUCCCAGGCUCAAGCAAUCCUCCCACCUCAGCCUCCUGAGUAGGACCACAAGUGUGUGCCACCCCACCUGGCUAAUUUCUCUUUUUUAUUUUUUGGUAUUUCUUGUAGAGAUGGGGUUUCACCACAGUUGCCAAAUUGGUCUUGAACUCCUAGGCUCAAGAGAUUCACCCACUUCAGCCUCCCGAAGUGCUGGGAUUACAGAUGUGAGCCACUGCACCCAGCCUGGAUUUUGGCUCUUAAACAUUAAUACACACAUAUGAAAAGGACACAGGAACCAGCCAGCAGGAGUUUCCACUGGCCAUAUCUGAAAUCAAGUGAGCAGCAGAAAACCCCAUGACUGUGACUACAACACAAUGAAUAGUCAGUUGGCACACAGUGAUUCACAAAGGAAGGAUGGAGGGAAAGAAGCAGAGGAGUGAAAGGAAAACACUGAUUUCCACAACUAUAGGUGACUAUCUUCCUUUCAAAUGGAUAAAGGACAGAAUGAAACAUUGACCCUGCUUUUUUAGAAGAAUCUAUGAUGUUCUCUUAUUGAUGAUAAGAAGUUUCUUUACAGAAUGCCCGCUAAUACAUGUGAAAAGAAUCACAGAAUAUGGAAAUCAUCUUUGACAUCCCUGAUGAAAUAAUGAUUUAGGGAUGCUAAGACCAUUAGGUGAAAGGCUGACAGGAAACAGAAUAUUCACAAGGUACCAGUGAACCUCCCCAGAUUACCUGCUGAUGACGCAAGGCAACAGGAGCAUCCGGCUGUCACCACCGGAGCCAAGUGCUGGGAUUUGGCAACUUAAUUAAGGGUCACAUUAUGUGCCUACUGAAGUGAAGGACUACUGAGUAUACAGCAUCCCCCAUAAAACAUUGCUAAAAACAUCUCAUCUGAAUCUAAAGAAGGUCUUACACCUAACUUCCAGUUUAUAGGAAAUAUACAGAAAUAACACCGUAAAAAAAUACGCAGGUUCAGAAUAUUGGUGACUCUGUACAACUGCUGGCCUAUAACAUGGUUCAAAGCCUGGUAAGAAAUGAGUCUCGGCAGGGUGCAGUGGCUCACACCUGUAUUCCCUGCACUCUGGGAGGCCAAGGCAGAAGGAUCACUUAGCUCAGCCUGGAAAACACAGACAGAGACCCUGUCUCUACCAAAAAAUAAAAAAAUAGCCAGGCACAGUGGCACAUGCCUGUGGUCCCAGCUACUUGGGAGGCUGAGGCUGGAGGAUCGCUUCAACCUCAGAGGUCAAGGCUGCGGUGAGCUGUGAUCGUGCCACUGCACUCCAGGCAACAGAUCAAGAUUCUCUCUCUCAAAAAAAAAAAAGAAAGAAAGAAAAAGAAAAAGAAAAAGAAAUGCCAAGUCCACGGCAGACAUGGAUGCUGACUAGACCCUGGUUUGAAACAAAGAUACUUUGGGGAUAACUCGGGAAAUAAAAAUAUAGACAGGGUAUUAGAUAACUUAACCUAAGGAAAUAUUAUUGUCUUAGGUGUGAAAAUUCUCACUAAUUAUGUCAAGAACGUCCUUAUCUUCAGGAGAUGCAUGCUUAAGUAUUUAGGCUGUUAUGUCAUCAUAUCUGCAACUUUUAAACAGCUCAGCCUGACACACAUCUAUACAGACUAAACAUGACACAAUGUUCACUGCUAGUAGAUUUGGAAAUGUUUUACUAUUGUCAAGUUUCUUCUGUAUGUCUGAAAAAUUUAAUGAUAAAAGCUGAGAGUGGGGCAGCCAGCCCUGGCCUCAGGCAGGAGAACAGACCACGACAGGGCUCUGCUGCUCAGGGGCAGCGACCCACGCUGCUGGUCUCUUAGCCUCAGCCCUUCUCUGAGAUGAAGGAGUCACCCAAAACCCACACUGUCAAAUGAUUUCUCUAAGGCAUGUAAACACUUCUCUGAAUCAGGUAAGGACUGGGAUAUAGGAAGCAACUGCAACACAACUGGCCUUACUUUCAGCCAUCGGACUGUCAGUAUCCAAUUAUUUUCAAGGAGUUCAGGCAAAAGCAGAAUGAAUGUAAAACUUACAAGAAAGGGGAGAAGAGGUGAUGCUUACGCUCAUGUUAGAGUCACAUUCUCAGGCAUGACUGUCCACAGUAGUUACCAGGACAGUAGUUACGGUGGCAAAAACUGGGCCAACAGCACUGCUUGAGGCCUGAAACCAGGCCUAUAAUCCCAUCACUGCUCAUGUAAACUGCAGCGACCGUGAAUGAAACUGCUUCUUACUAAUCCAAGAGCUUUUUGAACAAACGCUAAGGGUUCCAACUACUCUCCAGAAACCUCCCUGUACCACUGACUAGAUUCAGCCUGGAGCAAUAAAAAAGGCUUCCCCAAAUGAACAACAGAAGAGAAACUACACUUCAAAGGAUAGGUAAGUGCAGUCUUAUACUAAGAGAUGACAUCUCUCUUAUCUCUGGCAGAAAAUAAAAUUUUAAUAGUCAAACUGUACAACAAACCAGAAAAUACUCCUGGUCUAAUUCAUAAUGCAAUGUCCUUGAAGUGGAAUUCUAAAGAAAAGACUUAUGCCCUCCUUUAGCUGCCUUGGAUAGAAGCAGAUAAUAAAACCAGAGCAGACAUAUGGUUUUCAAAGAUUUAAAGAGAGAGUGAAAUGAAACUGCAAAAGACAGAGCCAAGUAAGACAUGGUCCUCUGUGCCAGUUGUUCCCAAGAAGUCCAAAGACAUUACUUAACCCGUCUUAACUACUUCAGAUUUUCUCUCUGGAGAAUUCACCUAAAACUGUAACUUAUUCAAUGUGAAAAGUGACAGGUUUUUUUUUUGGUUUUUUUUUUUUUUUGAGAUGGAGUCUCGCUCUGUUGCCCAGGCUGGAGUGCAGUGGUGCGAUCUUGGCUCACUGCAAGCUCCGCCUCCCAGGUUCACGCCAUUCUCCUGCCUCAGCCUCCCGAGUAGCUGGGACUACAGGCGCCCGCCACCACGAAAAGUGACAGUAUUUAAGAAACUUCCUAGGCACAGAGAAAACACUGUGAAUGGUAAAUAUGAAUUUGUCCUUUUGCAAAUGUAGGGAGGCAAGUUUCCUUCCACGUGGACACAUGUGAAAUCUACAACUGUCAUCCACCUAUGUCACCAGUGUUAGAUCUCAGACAGAGCCUCGUCACACUGAAGACUACGUAACAGGGGAAGUUCUACUCCUUGAAGGUCUCGGGACCCUUCUACAGCUAACAGCCCUCCUUCCCAUGAGCUCCUCUCAGUCCCUUGGUUACCUGACGUUUCCUCCAGCCUUCUGUAUCCUCAUCCGCUCUUCAUACUGAGUUGGAUUAUGCUCUUUGCUGAGGCUUAAGGCUGCAUGUUUUUGACUCUCCUCAUUAUAACGACACAAGAUUGCCUGGGAAGAUGGAGAUUGUAAUAGUCAUGAAAUUCAGUGGGCGCAGCAUCUAAAGGUACCAGUUGAAAAAAACAGUUAACAAUGGAGUUUGAAGAAAACAGUUAACAAUGGAGUUUCACAUUCAGCCUCCUGCUGAUAAACGUAAGUUCAGAGAAUCAAGCAGCAAAGAAGUGUCAAAGACACAACAGUUAGGGAGAGAGUCGCCCCUGGUUUUGAUAUCAACUCUGGUACAAACUCUGCUGAAUAACUACAGACAAGUGCUCACUCUGGCUGUUGUCACAUUUGUGACAUGAAAGGAAGCACUCAACAAGUAUCAAGGUCCCUUUUGGCCUGGAGUCUAGAAGGCCAGAGACAUGUCCAUGAGCCUAUGGAAGGCAAAGAGGAGGGCAAGCGUUGUGCAUGCUGGCCGAGUGCCAGGUAGGCCGUCCACACCAGUGCCUCCAGGUGUUCUCGCCCCUGCCAGGUUCAUUGUGUCUGUUUUACAGGAAGACACUGAGGCACGAAGAAUAAGUAACUCAAUAAAGUCACAGAGCAGAGCCAGGAUUCAAAUUUGGGUCUGACUCCUGUCUUUGUUUUUUUGCCAAUUUUCCUCUUGCUAUUUCUGAAGUCAUGUGGUCUAAACACAUGUGGGCUAAGGCCAGUCUACUAAAGGGCCACCAGAAUGUAAACUCCACCAGGCAGGGGCUGUCAUCUGUUAUAGUCUCUGCCAUACCCCUAGCACUUAGUAUUUGAUGAAUCAUCCCCCCAGAAGCAUCGUGGGGAGGGGUCUAAAGAUGCUGCUUAAGUGUGGACAGUCACUUGAUUCCUGUGACUGCCUAGGGAGCAAGGAGGCCGGGUGAAAAAGCGGCAACGGAACGGAACACAUGGUCCUGAUGCAGAGGAGGCAGGGUCUGCAUCCAGCUUUCCGCAGCAGCACCCUCUAGGCUUUACAGCAUCCCCACGACUGUCACCAGGGGGAACAACACCCUGGGCUUUCUCCCUCAGCCAGGGACCGGGCUCGGGUGAUGAAUGGCACCUCAUCUGGUAUUUUCUAGCUACAGCUCUCAAGUUACUCUGAAAUCACAGUAACUUUGAUAGGCAGGGGUUAAAGCUUUUCAUUCAUUACUGUCUAAGGUCAGAGAAAGGAAAUAAAAGAAGAUUUAGGCUACUUGCAUACUGAUUACAUUCUGAUCCACAGCAUCACACACACAAACCACGGGAGGAAAAAAGAAACAAAAAAGACGGGAUCUGGGUUUUAAAGCACAAGUCUAUCAUAGGGCGUAAGUUCCCCAGAGAACAAACAGCCUCUAGCUGAGUUGCUGUUCCCUUACCCAGAAGUUAAACUGCAGCAGAACACUCUGCAGCAACCCCAGAAGAAAGGUUUCAACCAGACACCAUCACUUUAAUCUUAUUCAACAAGUACGUGCUAAAGUCUUUUCCCCAUAAAACGUAUUGUCAUCUAAGUGGGUGGCUCCAGAGCCACAUACCCGACUAUCUCCGAGGUUGGCAAUAUAAAGAAUGUUGUCUACAGCCAGAACACACGUGGCAGUGGACCCAUCUUUCCAGGCAGGCUUCCUGGGGGGAAACACAUCAGAAACACAGUCACCACCAAUAGCCCAGCACUUUGAGACUAAUUUCCAGAGCUCAAUGGGAAGUAUCUUAUAUUUCAAAAUGAACCAUUUCCUUGAUACUUGCUUUUUUUCUGUUUUAGAUUUAGCUAACGGUUAUAAAAGCUGAGUGCUACGCACUUUUCAGACAGUGAGCAAUAGUGUUAAACCACAUCAGAAGACUGAAAUGCAUUUAGGAAAACACCACACACAGUCCACUCAAACUUCAUCAUCAAGUUAUACUUACUGGCUGGAAGCUUGUUUAAGGAACUCUUCAUCAGUAUGCUUGAAAGUGUCCAAAAGGCAUCUCUUCACGGUUUUCUCUACACUGAUUACAUCUCCUAUUACAGAAGGGCCAAAAGAAAACAAUCUCUCAAGGAGGGAAGAUUAUCCUCCUCCCACUGUCAUUUUGGUUUGUUUUUUGUUUUAUUUUUUUGAGACGGAGUCUCGUUCUGUCACCAGGCUGGAAUGCAGUGGCGCGAUCUCAGCUCACUGCAACCUCCGCCUCCCAGGUUCAAGAGAUUCUUCUGCCUUAGCCUCCUGAGUAGCUGGGAAUACAGGCGCGCGCAACCAUGCCAGGCUAAUUUUUGUGUUUUUAGUAGAGACAGGGUUUCACCACAUUGGCCAGGCUGGUCUCGAACUCCUGACCUCGUGAUCCACCUGCCUCGGCCUCCCAAAUGCUGGGAUUACAGGCGUGGGUCACCAGGGCUGGCCAUUUUGUUUUUGUAAUUUCUGCACAUCAAUUGAUUUUCAAGCAUGAUUAAGAACAAUCCCUAUUUCUUUCCUUUUUUAAAUUUUUUUUUCUGAGACUGGGUCUCACUCUGUCACCCAGGCUGCAGUGCAAUGGUGCAACUGUGGUUCACUGCAGCCUGAACCUCCUGGGGCUCAGAAAAUCCUCCCACCACAGCCUCCUGAGCAGCUGGGACCACAGGCACAUACCACCAUGUCCAGUUAGGUUUGUUUUUUUUUUUUAUAGAGAUAGAGUCUCCCUAUGUUGCCAGGCUGGUCUCAAACUCCUGGGCUUGAGUGAUCUUCUGGCCUUGGCCUCCCAAAGUGCUGUGUGAGCCACCGUGCCCAGCCAGAACAAUCUCUGUUUCUUUCCUCACAUAUAACACAGUGCUAUUUGAAGUUGGUUUACUAGUUUUCCAGUAAAGGCAAGACACUAACUGAACCCAAAGACGAUUGACAAAAGGUGCCUAUCACUUAGAAUCAUGAGAAGUGCCAUUCUAAGUCACACCUGCAUGGCCGCUACUCCUGGAAGCCUUGGCAUCCACUCCUCAGCACCACUCUUUUAAGACUCAUCAAUGAUUCUCUGCUAAAGCCAAAAUAACACAUCUGACUGCUUCACACAGCCAACCAAACAGCAAUAACCAAUUUGAGUAUCAACUGAUUUAGUUCUCAGUCUCACCUUUAGGAAAUUUUCUGAUUAAGUUUUGAUGCAAAUU